RNAcentral lists this ribosomal RNA (97 nucleotides) under Methylophaga sp. RNAcentral's name for it is "partial 16S ribosomal RNA". It matches the Rfam family "Bacterial small subunit ribosomal RNA", at positions 1 to 92 of the family's 1533-position model. Lineage: Bacteria; Pseudomonadati; Pseudomonadota; Gammaproteobacteria; Thiotrichales; Piscirickettsiaceae. The record is from RNAcentral.
AAACUGAAGAGUUUGAUCAUGGCUCAGAUUGAACGCUGGCGGCAUGCCUAACACAUGCAAGUCGAACGGAAACGAUGCUAGCUUGCUAGCAGGCGUC